Molecule: ribosomal RNA, 253 nt
Filed under: uncultured microorganism
Description: partial 16S ribosomal RNA
Rfam family: Bacterial small subunit ribosomal RNA
Source: RNAcentral
UACGUAGGGUGCGAGCGUUAAUCGGAUUUACUGGGCGUAAAGCGUGCGCAGGCGGCCCGUUAAGACAGGUGUGAAAUCCCGGGGCUCAACCUAGGAAUUGCGCUUGUGACUGGCGGGCUCGAGUACGGUAGAGGGAGGUGGAAUUCCUGGUGUAGCAGUGAAAUGCGUAGAGAUCAGGAGGAACACCGAUGGCGAAGGCAGCCCCCUGGGCCUGUACUGACGCUCAUGCACGAAAGCGUGGGGAGCAAACAGG